RNAcentral lists this long non-coding RNA (1028 nucleotides) under Anas platyrhynchos platyrhynchos (common mallard). RNAcentral's name for it is "lncRNA (ENSAPLG00000017005.1)". The record is from RNAcentral. Lineage: Eukaryota; Metazoa; Chordata; Aves; Anseriformes; Anatidae.
ACAUUUCUCCAAAGCUAUAGCAAUAUUAAGUGGCACAAUCAUGGAAAUUGCAAAAGGAAGGUCAUGCACCAUGGAAGAUGGUAUACAGGGCAUGUUCUCAGUCUCUAGUGAAAGAGUUAGUGGAGUCUGCUGCCUUUACAGAGAACGUUAACAAGGAUUGAUAUACAGCCCUUUGCCCUCUGAUGCCAUAAUUAGUAUCGUCUUCCAUGAGACUACUCUUCCUGCUCCCCUUGGAAAACCAGAGACAAUGAGACUUUGGGAUUCUUUGCCAAAAGAUUUUACUGCUAAUGACAAACAGAAAUAUUCAUUCAGAUAAAACUAGGAUUAUGUACUAAAAGAAAUCAAGAUCCUGUAAAUAUCAUAAUUACUAAGGCUCAGGAUCUGAAAAUGAAAGAACACCUGAAAAGAGGACUAGAAAUUAUGUAAAAUAUGUAAAACAAAAAUAUGUUAGCUGAACUAUAGCCAAACUGUAUGAUUUUUAGUUAGCAAAUUCCAUAUGUAUUCUUCCUACUGAAAAUCGUACAAGUUUUCUGAUGGGAUCUUUGUAAGAAGUUUGUGUCAAUCUCAGGGAUUUAAAACCUGCUUGAAGAGUAUAACUUGAGCUUAACUAUGGAGCAGCUAAGGCCUUUCUAUAUAAAUUUUACAUAAGUUUACAGUGCUAGAGAGUGCCUGAUGGUUCACACAGCAAGUUAAAGAGCAGCCCCUAUCCACACUUCACAACCACAAUUGCUUAUGACAAGACAAUACAGAGGGGGGAAAAUACAAGGCUUUAUUUAAACCUCCCUACAGUAACUCAUGGUAAUUUGCCCUGAGCAACACACAAUUUUUCGUAGGAAAGCAGUAUUUUAAACAAUGCUGCUAUGCAGUGCCUGAGAUGUGGAAUAGAAAGGCAGUAGAACAUCUCAGAAACCUGUAGUAAACAGUUCUUGUUUGGCAAUAGUUGUGUAAAAAUAUAUGAAGAGAGAAGCCGAACAAAUCUUUGACUUUGACUGUAAUAAAAAGCUUACUUUACUCUUGGACUAUUUGCA